This 116-nucleotide Y RNA is filed under the name Microcebus murinus (gray mouse lemur). RNAcentral's name for it is "Y RNA (ENSMICG00000032935.2)". It matches the Rfam family "Y RNA". Rfam says of the family: Y RNAs are components of the Ro ribonucleoprotein particle (Ro RNP), in association with Ro60 and La proteins. The Y RNAs and Ro60 and La proteins are well conserved, but the function of the Ro RNP is not known. In humans the RNA component can be one of four small RNAs -- hY1, hY3, hY4 and hY5. Lineage: Eukaryota; Metazoa; Chordata; Mammalia; Primates; Cheirogaleidae. The record is from Rfam by way of RNAcentral.
GGCUGGUCCGAAGGUAGUGAGUUAUCUCACGUGAUUGUUCACACAGUCAGUUACAGAUUGAACUCCUUGUUCUACUACUUUCCCCCCUCCUCACUACUGCACUUGACUAGUCUAAA